RNAcentral lists this transfer RNA (74 nucleotides) under Fidelibacterota bacterium. RNAcentral's name for it is "tRNA-Ile". It matches the Rfam family "tRNA". Rfam says of the family: Transfer RNA (tRNA) molecules are approximately 80 nucleotides in length. Their secondary structure includes four short double-helical elements and three loops (D, anti-codon, and T loops). Lineage: Bacteria; Pseudomonadati; Fidelibacterota. The record is from RNAcentral.
GGGCUUGUAGCUCAGUUGGUUAGAGCGCAUCCCUGAUAAGGAUGAGGUCCGUGGUUCAAAUCCACGUAAGCCCA